Molecule: long non-coding RNA, 1074 nt
Filed under: Athene cunicularia (burrowing owl)
Lineage: Eukaryota; Metazoa; Chordata; Aves; Strigiformes; Strigidae
Description: lncRNA (ENSACUG00000003625.1)
Source: RNAcentral
GCAGUAGAAGAGCUAGAGAAAGAGUUUGUGACUGAACUCCAGCAGCUGAAGUCUGCGGCAGAAGAGAAGCAUCAUAAGGUAAAAGAUGGUGUCCUGAGAAUGUAAAUCGUUGAUUUCCCACACUGUCACCAAAGGUGGCCGGGGAGAGUGGCGUUCCUUUUUCUUCCCGCUCCCUAAAUGUGGUUCUGGUCUGGCUCAGCACUUGGAUGUGCUCCAAGUAGGGGGUGGUGAGACUGCACACGCUGGUCUUUGCCACGCUGCUCGCUCCCCGUGGGAGGGCACCGGAUGGAUCUUGUCAGAAGGGUGACAAGUCUCUGGGUGGCUUUCACGGCAGGUCAUUUCCAGCCUGCAAACCCAGCUAGCAGAGGCACAGCGCCGCGAGGAGGCACAGCUGCGCGAAGACUUGCAGAGAGCCGAGCAGAAAGCGCAGCAAAAGGCCCGUCAAGUCACGGAGUACGAACGCGAGGCAAGUGCUCCCCUCAGCUUGCUGCGGGUCCUGCACCCCCUCUCCCUGGGGCUGUGGUGAGGCCCUGAGACUGCAGCCCCUGCCCAGUGGUGGCAGCGGUGCCAUGGGGGACAGGGCACCCCUGUGGCAUCUGGCCCUGCCGGGGCGUUUGCCUUGGGCUGCCCCGGCCUGAUCCUGCGCACGUGGUACCGCGACCGCCCGUCCUCCCACUCCCAUGAGGGGCUGCGCUCCAGGGGCCCCGCACCGCGGGGCUGCAGGUCACAGAAACAUCUUGUCACGUCAUCCCCGCAGCUCAGCGAGCUAAUGAGGGAGAAACGCCACGACGUGGAAAAAGACCAUGAGAGGAGAAUGGAGAGGAUGAAGGAGGAGCACCAGGAGGCCCUGGCACGGAUUCGGGAUCAGUACGAGGAGGAGGAGAGAAAGCAAAGAGCAGAGCUGCUGGAAGGCCUGCGACGCGAGGGGGCGCGUCUCCGGCAGCUUCACGAAGCAGAGGUGAAGGCUCUGCAGGUGGAGCUGGAUGAGCAGCUCACUGCACUGCAGUGCAGGCACAGGGAGAAGGUGAGGAGAACGCUUUGCCUGGCGAAUCCUCCUGACAUGGCUGCCUGGGG